RNAcentral lists this long non-coding RNA (814 nucleotides) under Portunus trituberculatus (swimming crab). RNAcentral's name for it is "uncharacterized LOC123510253, transcript variant X1". Lineage: Eukaryota; Metazoa; Arthropoda; Malacostraca; Decapoda; Portunidae. The record is from RNAcentral.
CCCAGCGGUCUCUGUCUGGAGGAAACGUGAAGGCGAAAGGAAAAGCGGCAAUAUCACAGCAUUUUCACAGCUCAGUGAUUUCACACAGCACCUCAGCUCUGUCUGGCGUGAAGGAACAGGUGACUAGAACAGCUCUGACUGAGGACACAGCACUGCAGUCACACAGGCAGGACCAUAAGAGGAAGGAAAAGGAGCACCAAGAGUGUGACCAGGGCCAUGGCGAUAGGGGCCACUUUAGGGAAUGGGAAAAAGGCUGACCAGGAGACCAACAGAGGAGAGAGGAGAAGAAGAAAUGAAAGAACAGGUGAAGAAGCUGCAGUUUCUAGAGAUUUGGCCAGGAAGAGGGCUGAGGAGGAGGCAUUGAGUCACCCCUAAGUACUGUCAAAGGAGGAGAGGGCAGCUGAAGAUCUCAAAAGCCUCCAGGAACAAGUGGAGGAGGUGGAAGAAAAGGCAGGAAGAGGAGUGCAAGGCUUGGGACUGCAUGUACCAGGAGAGGCUGUGAGAGCAGGCCUAGUGGCAGAAGGAACCCCUGGAGCAGGACAUAAUGGAGGCAGAACAAGGAGGACAUGGAGAUGAGACACUGGUGGCCUGGGUCUGAAGGAGCAGAAGGUGCAGCCAAGUUUUAUAGGAAUUACAUUGAGCAGUGACACAUGCUGGCCGAUAAGGACGAGGGGGUGGUCGUCUCAAGAAGGCUGUCAGGCACAGCCACAUUGUCUCACCUUAAGAUCAAAUUAUCAGUACCUGUGAUGCUUCAAGGCAGGGCAUCACAUACACAACCUCAUUGCUCAGGUUAAUAUAAGGACAUUGAACCAGA